Molecule: ribosomal RNA, 160 nt
Filed under: uncultured bacterium
Lineage: Bacteria
Description: partial 16S ribosomal RNA
Rfam family: Bacterial small subunit ribosomal RNA
Source: RNAcentral
UGAGGAAUAUUGGUCAAUGGGCGCGAGCCUGAACCAGCCAAGUCGCGUGAGGGAUGACGGCCCUACGGGGUUGUAAACCUCUUUUGUCGGGGGAGCAAAUUCCGUUACGUGUAACGGAGUCGAGAGUACCCGAAGAAAAAGCAUCGGCUAACUCCGUGCC